CCGUGACACCAGUUGCCGGCAGCAUCUCGCAGCAUGCUGGAUCCCACAUCCCUUCGGAGUUAAGGGGCGGAGGGGUUCAAGCGAGGCCAUCCUUGAGCUUGUUCCUUGCUGUGCCAUUGAGGCACUGGAGGAGCCAUGGCUGGCUGUGCUGGACGCUUUGCCAUUUAAACCUCCGUAGCCUCGAAUGCCGCAGCAGGGCCAAAUGCCGAUGCAGAGCCAGACCUGCAGAACGGUGCAUGGGAGAAU
This 246-nucleotide long non-coding RNA is filed under the name Struthio camelus australis. RNAcentral describes it as "lncRNA (ENSSCUG00000002799.1)". Lineage: Eukaryota; Metazoa; Chordata; Aves; Struthioniformes; Struthionidae. The record is from RNAcentral.